GUCGCGAUGGCCGAGUGGUUAGGGCGAUGGACUUGAAAUCCAUUGGGGUAUCCCCGCGUAGGUUCAAAUCCUGCUCGCGACG
Molecule: non-coding RNA, 82 nt
Organism: Hydatigera taeniaeformis
Lineage: Eukaryota; Metazoa; Platyhelminthes; Cestoda; Cyclophyllidea; Taeniidae
Source: Rfam